RNAcentral lists this unclassified non-coding RNA (230 nucleotides) under Hevea brasiliensis (rubber tree). The record is from RNAcentral. Lineage: Eukaryota; Viridiplantae; Streptophyta; Magnoliopsida; Malpighiales; Euphorbiaceae.
UCAACCUUAAGAAGAACUCAGAAAGCUCUACAAAGUAAAACAUGGCGUCCUUUGAUUGGCUGCAAUUCAAAACCCCAAACCACCACUUGCCCAACACCAAGAAUCUACAACACCACCGAGUAUUUGAAAAUCAAAUCCUUUUUUUUUUUCUUUUUAAUCUUUUCACACGCAAAGCCAUAGAUAUAAUUAAUUAAAACUUUUUUUUAAGAAUAUACUUUUAUAAUAAUAUU